This 394-nucleotide ribosomal RNA is filed under the name uncultured bacterium. Its description in RNAcentral is "partial 16S ribosomal RNA". It matches the Rfam family "Bacterial small subunit ribosomal RNA", at positions 338 to 724 of the family's 1533-position model. The record is from RNAcentral.
CCUACGAGUGGCAGCAGUAGGGAAUCUUCCACAAUGGGCGAAAGCCUGAUGGAGCAACGCCGCGUGGGUGAAGAAGGUCUUCGGAUCGUAAAACCCUGUUGUUAGAGAAGAAAGUGCGUGAGAGUAACUGUUCACGUUUCGACGGUAUCUAACCAGAAAGCCACGGCUAACUACGUGCCAGCAGCCGCGGUAAUACGGAGGUGGCAAGCGUUAUCCGGAAUUAUUGGGCGUAAAGGGCACGCAGGCGGUCUUUUAAGUCUGAUGGGAAAACCUUGGGCUUAAACGGGGGAGUUCCUUGGAAACUGGGGAACGUGAGUGCAGGAGAGGGGAGUUGAACGUCAGGGGGAGCGGUGAAAGGCGUAGAUAUAUGGAAGAACACCGGUGGCGAAGGCGG